This 492-nucleotide ribosomal RNA is filed under the name uncultured bacterium. RNAcentral describes it as "partial 16S ribosomal RNA". It matches the Rfam family "Bacterial small subunit ribosomal RNA", at positions 30 to 507 of the family's 1533-position model. The record is from RNAcentral.
AUUGAACGCUGGCGGCAUGCUUUACACAUGCAAGUCGAACGGUAACAGGCCUUCGGGUGCUGACGAGUGGCGAACGGGUGAGUAAUGCAUCGGAACGUACCCAGAGGUGGGGGAUAACGCAGCGAAAGCUGUGCUAAUACCGCAUGUGAUCUUAGGAUGAAAGCGGGGGACCGAGCAGCAAUGUUUGGCCUCGCGCCUUUGGAGCGGCCGAUGUCGGAUUAGCUAGUUGGUGGGGUAAAGGCCUACCAAGGCGACGAUCCGUAGCUGGUCUGAGAGGACGACCAGCCACACUGGGACUGAGGCACGGCCCAGACUCCUACGGGAGGCAGCAGUGGGGAAUUUUGGACAAUGGGCGCAAGCCUGAUCCAGCAAUGCCGCGUGCGGGAAGAAGGCCUUCGGGUUGUAAACCGCUUUUGGCAGGAACGAAACGGUGUCCGCUAAUACCGGGCGCUAAUGACGGUACCUGCAGAAUAAGCACCGGCUAACUACGUG